AGAAAGAGGGGGAUCUUCGGACCUCUUGCUAAGUAGAUGAGCCUAGGUCGGAUUAGCUAGUUGUGGGGUAAAGGCUACGACCAAGGCGACGAUCUGUAGCUGGUCUGAGAGGAUGGCCAGCCACACUGGAACUGAGACACGGUCCAGACUCCUACGGGAGGCAGCAGUGGGGAAUAUUGGACAAUGGGCGCAAGCCUGAUCCAGCCAUGCCGCGUGUGUGAAGAAGGCCCCUCGGGGUUGUAAAGCACUUUAAGCGAGGAGGAAGGUCAUCAUGCUAAUAUUAUGAUGAAUUGACGUUACUCGCAGAAUAAGCACCGGCUAACUCUGUGCCAGCAGCCGCGGUAAUACAGAGGGUGCAAGCGUUAAUCGGAAUUACUGGGCGUAAAGCGCGCGUAGGCGGUUUGUUAAGUCGGA
This 414-nucleotide ribosomal RNA is filed under the name uncultured bacterium. Its description in RNAcentral is "bacterial SSU rRNA". It matches the Rfam family "Bacterial small subunit ribosomal RNA", at positions 201 to 592 of the family's 1533-position model. The record is from RNAcentral.